Molecule: unclassified non-coding RNA, 1318 nt
Filed under: Polistes fuscatus (common paper wasp)
Lineage: Eukaryota; Metazoa; Arthropoda; Insecta; Hymenoptera; Vespidae
Description: ecdysone receptor-like, transcript variant X8
Source: RNAcentral
GAUACACACACAACAUAUACACACAUACAGGUUACGCAAAAUAUAUAUAAUAUACAAUAUUAUCAAUAUAUUUUCGUGAAGUUUUCAUUGCCUCGUACGCAAGCACACAAGCACGUUAGCACGUACCCAAUUAGGGUUGGAAAAGAAAGAAGAGGCGUGUUAGUUUUCUUCAAAGUUCCCUCCUUCAAAAUCGACGUUCCGUGAGAGACUCAAAUCGUGUACGCGUGCUGUCUAUCUCUUUCUUGUCAUCGUGUCGUCGUUGUCGUCGUCGUCGUCCUCCUACACUACUCCUCGUCGUCGUAGUUGUCGGUAUCGUUCAGAGGAACGAGAGAGGCUAAAGAGAAAACCCUCUCCCGCGGUGUCCUCGUCGUGUAUCGUCGUCGUCGUCGUCGUUGUUGUUGUUGUCAUCGUCAUCGUCGUCGUCGUCGUCGUCGUUGACGUCGGGCGCGCGCUGUGAGAAAAAGAGAGAGAGAGAGAAAACAGCACGGCGGUGUGACAAGGACAAGUACACACAACGUUGUUAAGAUAGAAGAGAAGGAAGCUGACAGAAAGCAAGAGAGAGAGAGAGAGAGAGAGAGAAAGCAAGAAAAGGAGACUACGAGAUUCGGAAUUGACGUGUUUUUGUCAAAAAUAAUAAUUAAUACUAACGACAAAAUUACAUUUAAUAAAAAAAGAGAUAGAAAGGGGAUAGUAAUUGCGUUGUUUUUUCUCGCAUAGUUUGAUUAUUUCAAUUACACGGUUAAUGCGGCUUCUUCAUUUAUCAACGUUCAUCUUUUCUUGGAUGUGUGCGCAUAAGAAAUACAAAUUCAAAAAACAGGAGUAGUUCGAGAAGAAGAAAUAGAAGAAGAGGAUAGAAGAAGAAUACUGAUAAUUAUAAUAAUAAUAGUGCCGUGUUUACACGUGUUUUGUACAGUGUCAAGUGUUAACCAAUCACAGGGAGCGGAAGGAGAACGACACGGGUGGACGACAGCCAAUCAUCUUAUUUCUUCUUUAAAUUACGGACAGUGUUGAUCUCGCGGGCUGUCGAGAUUUCACUCUGGAUACGUCAUUAUAUGCUGGUGGAGGAAGUUGAGUAUAUCGAAGAAGAGGAGGAGGAGGAGGAGGAGGAGGAGGAGGACGGCUCGUCGACGGCCCAGGGCAAUGUGGCUUGUAAGUGGGGAAACUCGAGGAGGUGAUAACGACUUCUGACCUUCCGUGAGAGAGGAGAACCACCCUUUUCCCGUUUGUCACGUUGGAGUGGGCCCAGUAACGCACCAACACCAACCAUUAUCAUCAUUAUCAUUGGGUUCACAUAGAACAACAUCACGAAAUAGAAAAA